GACGGAGGGUGCAAGCGUUGUUCGGAUUGACUGGGCGUAAAGGGCGUGUAGGCGGCCAACUAAGUCCGACGUGAAAUCCCAAGGCUUAACCUUGGAACUGCGUCGGAUACUGGAUGGCUUGAAUUCGGGAGAGGGAUGCAGAAUUCCAGGUGUAGCGGUGAAAUGCGUAGAUAUCUGGAGGAAUACCGGUGGCGAAGGCGGCAUCCUGGACCGACAUUGACGCUGAGGAGCGAAAGCUAGGGGAGCAAACGGG
Molecule: ribosomal RNA, 253 nt
Filed under: uncultured bacterium
Lineage: Bacteria
Description: partial 16S ribosomal RNA
Rfam family: Bacterial small subunit ribosomal RNA
Source: RNAcentral